Camelus ferus (Wild Bactrian camel) is the source of this 72-nucleotide transfer RNA. It matches the Rfam family "tRNA". From Rfam's summary of the family: Transfer RNA (tRNA) molecules are approximately 80 nucleotides in length. Their secondary structure includes four short double-helical elements and three loops (D, anti-codon, and T loops). The record is from Rfam. Lineage: Eukaryota; Metazoa; Chordata; Mammalia; Artiodactyla; Camelidae.
GGGGGUAUAGCUCAGUGGUAGAGGGUGUGCUUGGUGUGCAUGGGGUCCUGGGUUCAAACCGCAGUGCCUCCA